This 253-nucleotide ribosomal RNA is filed under the name uncultured bacterium. RNAcentral's name for it is "partial 16S ribosomal RNA". It matches the Rfam family "Bacterial small subunit ribosomal RNA", at positions 524 to 776 of the family's 1533-position model. The record is from RNAcentral.
UACGAAGGGGACUAGCGUUGUUCGGAAUCACUGGGCGUAAAGCGCACGUAGGCGGAUGUGUCAGUCAGGGGUGAAAUCCCGGGGCUCAACCUCGGAACUGCCUUUGAUACAGCACGUCUCGAGUCCGGAAGAGGUGGGUGGAAUUCCUAGUGUAGAGGUGAAAUUCGUAGAUAUUCGGAGGAACACCAGUGGCGAAGGCGGCUCACUGGUCCGGUACUGACGCUGAGGUGCGAAAGCGUGGGGAGCAAACAGG